GCGAAUGUAGUUCAAUGGUAGAAUAUCAGCCUUCCAAGCUGACUAUGCGGGUUCGAUUCCCGUCAUUCGCU
Molecule: transfer RNA, 71 nt
Filed under: Candidatus Opitulatrix cubana
Lineage: Bacteria; Bacillati; Actinomycetota; Actinomycetes; Bifidobacteriales; Bifidobacteriaceae
Description: tRNA-Gly
Rfam family: tRNA
About the family: Transfer RNA (tRNA) molecules are approximately 80 nucleotides in length. Their secondary structure includes four short double-helical elements and three loops (D, anti-codon, and T loops).
Source: RNAcentral